This 910-nucleotide ribosomal RNA is filed under the name uncultured marine archaeon. RNAcentral describes it as "bacterial SSU rRNA". It matches the Rfam family "Archaeal small subunit ribosomal RNA", at positions 6 to 922 of the family's 1478-position model. The record is from RNAcentral.
GGUUGAUCCUGCCGGACCUGACUGCUAUCGGAUUGAUACUAAGCCAUGCGAGUCUUUGCAGUAAUGCAAGGCAUACGGCUCAGUAACACGUAGUCAACUUACCCUAUGGACGAGGAUAAUCUCGGGAAACUGAGCAUAAUACUCGAUAGAUCAUAAUGCCUGGAAUGGUUUAUGGUUAAAAUGAUUCGUCGCCAUAGGAUGGGACUGCGGCCUAUCAGCUUGUUGGUGAGGUAAUGGCCCACCAAGGCGAUUACAGGUACGGGCUCUGAGAGGAGAAGCCCGGAGAUGGGUACUGAGACAAGGACCCAGGCCCUAUGGGGCGCAGCAGGCGAGAAAACUUUGCAAUGUGCGAAAGCACGACAAGGUUAGUCCGAGUGAUUUCUGCUAAAGAGAUCUUUUGCUAGUUAUAAAACCACUAGUGAAUAAGGGGUGGGCAAGUUCUGGUGUCAGCCGCCGCGGUAAAACCAGCACCUCAAGUGGUCAGGAUGAUUAUUGGGCCUAAAGCAUCCGUAGCCGGCUCUGUAAGUUUUCGGUUAAAUCUAUACGCUCAACGUAUGGGCUGCCGAAAAUACUGUAGAGAUAGGGAGUGGGAGAGGUAGACGGUACUCGGUAGGAAGGGGUAAAAUCCUUUGAUCUAUCGAUGACCACCUGUGGCGAAGGCGGUCUACCAGAACACGUUCGACGGUGAGGGAUGAAAGCUGGGGGAGCAAACCGGAUUAGAUACCCGGGUAGUCCCAGCUGUAAACGAUGCAGACUCGAUGAUGCAUUGGCAUAUAGCCAGUGCAGUGUCGCAGGGAAGCCGUUAAGUCUGCCGCCUGGGAAGUACGUACGCAAGUAUGAAACUUAAAGGAAUUGGCGGGGGAGCACCACAAGGGGUGAAGCCUGCGGUUCAAUUGGAUUCAACGCCGGG